AGAACUGUUAUUACAAUAGGUAGAAUGAUAGGGUAACUCCUUGAAAUGCCUUCCCAAAGGAUACGGAUAGCGUUUAAUUAAGUAAAUAAUUAAAGGUUAUAAGCCCGUUAAAUGGCCUGAGAGUAUACCGUAAGUAGAUGAAAUAUAAUACCUACACGAAAUGCGAACUAGAGGUAGUCGAGUAUAUGAUAGGGCUAGGGUCUAUAAA
RNAcentral lists this non-coding RNA (208 nucleotides) under uncultured Clostridium sp. Lineage: Bacteria; Bacillati; Bacillota; Clostridia; Eubacteriales; Clostridiaceae. The record is from RNAcentral.